UGGGGAAUAUUGGACAAUGGGGGCAACCCUGAUCCAGCCAUGCCGCGUGAGUGAUGAAGGCCUUCGGGUUGUAAAGCUCUUUUGGCGGGGGACGAUGAUGACGGUACCCGCAGAAUAAGCCCCGGCUAACUUCGUGCCAGCAGCCGCGGUAAGACGAAGGGGGCUAGCGUUGUUCGGAAUUACUGGGCGUAAAGCGAGUGUAGGCGGUUGCCGUAGUCAGGUGUGAAAGCCUUGAGCUCAACUCAAGAAAUGCACUUGAUACUGGGUGACUAGAGGACCGGAGAGGAUAGUGGAAUUCCCCAGUGUAGUGGUGAAAUACGUAGAGAUUGGGAAGAACACCAGUGGCGAAGGCGGCUAUCUGGACGGUUACUGACGCUAAGACUCGAAAGCGUGGGGAGCAAACAGGAUUAGAUACCCUGGGUAGUCCACGCCGUAAACGAUGGGUGCUAGACGUUGGCGAGCUUGCUCGUCAGUGUCGCAGCUAACGCGUUAAGGCA
RNAcentral lists this ribosomal RNA (497 nucleotides) under uncultured bacterium. RNAcentral describes it as "partial 16S ribosomal RNA". It matches the Rfam family "Bacterial small subunit ribosomal RNA", at positions 355 to 866 of the family's 1533-position model. The record is from RNAcentral.